RNAcentral lists this ribosomal RNA (694 nucleotides) under Teratosphaeria angophorae. Its description in RNAcentral is "eukaryotic LSU rRNA". The stretch from base 284 to 437 matches the Rfam family "5.8S ribosomal RNA". The record is from RNAcentral. Lineage: Eukaryota; Fungi; Ascomycota; Dothideomycetes; Mycosphaerellales; Teratosphaeriaceae.
AUGGCUCAGUGAGGCGUCCGGACUGGCCUAGGGAGGUCGGCAACGACCACCCAGGGCCGGAAAGUUCGUCAAACUUGGUCAUUUAGAGGAAGUAAAAGUCGUAACAAGGUCUCCGUAGGUGAACCUGCGGAGGGAUCAUUACCGAGUGAGGGCGUGAGCCCGACCUCCAACCCCAUGUUUUCCAACCAUGUUGCCUCGGGGGCGACCCGGCCACGUGCCGGGGCCCCCGGUGGACCCCUCAACUCUGCAUCUCUGCGUCUGAGUAACGAAAUCAAUCAAUCAAAACUUUCAACAACGGAUCUCUUGGUUCUGGCAUCGAUGAAGAACGCAGCGAAAUGCGAUAAGUAAUGUGAAUUGCAGAAUUCAGUGAAUCAUCGAAUCUUUGAACGCACAUUGCGCCCUCUGGUAUUCCGGAGGGCAUGCCUGUUCGAGCGUCAUUACACCGCUCCAGCCUCGCUGGGUAUUGGGCGUCGCGGCCUCCGCGCGCCUUAAAGUCUCCGGCCGAGCCGACCGUCUCUAAGCGUUGCGAUCGUCCAUUCGCUUCGGGGACGGGCCGGCGCCGCGCCGUUAAAUCCUUUCACCAAAGGUUGACCUCGGAUCAGGUAGGGAUACCCGCUGAACUUAAGCAUAUCAAUAAGCGGAGGAAAAGAAACCAACAGGGAUUGCCCCAGUAACGGCGAGUGAAGCGGCAACA